UUGAACGCUGGCGGCCGGCCUAACACCUGCCAGUCGAGCGGAUGAAGGGAGCCUGCUCCUGGAUUCAGCGGCGGACGGGUGAGUAAUGCCUAGGAAUCUGCCUGGUAGUGGGGGAUAACGUCCGGAAACGGGCGCUAAUACCGCAUACGUCCUGAGGGAGAAAGUGGGGGAUCUUCGGACCUCACGCUAUCAGAUGAGCCUAGGUCGGAUUAGCUAGUUGGUGGGGUAAAGGCCUACCAAGGCGACGAUCCGUAACUGGUCUGAGAGGAUGAUCAGUCACACUGGAACUGAGACACGGUCCAGACUCCUACGGGAGGCAGCAGUGGGGAAUAUUGGACAAUGGGCGAAAGCCUGAUCCAGCCAUGCCGCGUGUGUGAAGAAGGUCUUCGGAUUGUAAAGCACUUUAAGUUGGGAGGAAGGGCAGUAAGUUAAUACCUUGCUGUUUUGACGUUACCAACAGAAUAAGCACCGGCUAACUUCGUG
Molecule: ribosomal RNA, 483 nt
Filed under: uncultured bacterium
Lineage: Bacteria
Description: partial 16S ribosomal RNA
Rfam family: Bacterial small subunit ribosomal RNA
Source: RNAcentral